Molecule: non-coding RNA, 361 nt
Organism: Gordonibacter pamelaeae 7-10-1-b
Lineage: Bacteria; Bacillati; Actinomycetota; Coriobacteriia; Eggerthellales; Eggerthellaceae
Rfam family: Bacterial RNase P class A
About the family: Ribonuclease P (RNase P) is a ubiquitous endoribonuclease, found in archaea, bacteria and eukarya as well as chloroplasts and mitochondria. Its best characterised activity is the generation of mature 5'-ends of tRNAs by cleaving the 5'-leader elements of precursor-tRNAs.
Source: Rfam
CGAGCGGGCCAGACGAUCGCGCACCUCGGUGUGAGGAAAGUCCGGGCUCCACAGGGCAGGAUGCCAGCUAACGGCUGGGCGGGGCGACCCGACGGAUUAGUGCCACAGAAAAGGAAACUCCCCCGCGAACACGCGCUUCGGCGCGCGGCAACGGGAGAAAAGCUGAAACGGUGCGGUAAGAGCGCACCAGCGCGCCGGCAACGGCGCGGCUUGGAAAACCCCAUCCGGAGCAAGCGCAAAUAGGAACGCGACACGGUGGCCCGCCGUACGUUCGGGUUGCGUGCUUGAGGCGUCUGGCGACAGGCGUUCGAGAUAAAUGGUCGUCCAACGACAGAACCCGGCUUAUCGGCCCGCUCGCGCC